CACCGCGGUUAUACGAGAGACCCAAGUUGUUAGACACCGGCGUAAAGAGUGGUUAGGGAAGUUCAUCCGACUAGAGCCGAACACCUUCAAAGCUGUUAUACGCACCCGAAGGCAAGAAGCCCAACUACGAAAGUGGCUUUAUGUUAACUGAACCCACGAAAGCUAGGACA
RNAcentral lists this ribosomal RNA (170 nucleotides) under Naso brachycentron (humpback unicornfish). Its description in RNAcentral is "partial 12S rRNA". Lineage: Eukaryota; Metazoa; Chordata; Actinopteri; Acanthuriformes; Acanthuridae. The record is from RNAcentral.